GACGAACCGUCCAAACGUUAUUCGGAAUUACUGGGCUUAAAGGGUGCGUAGGCGGCCUGACAAGUUGGGUGUGAAAUACCUCGGCUCAACCGAGGAAUAGCGCUCAAAACUGCCAGGCUUGAGGGAGAUAGAGGUGAGCGGAACUUAAGGUGGAGCGGUGAAAUGCGUUGAUAUCUUAAGGAACACCAGUUGCGAAAGCGGCUCACUGGAUCUCUUCUGACGCUCAUGCACGAAAGCUAGGGGAGCAAACGGG
RNAcentral lists this ribosomal RNA (253 nucleotides) under uncultured bacterium. Its description in RNAcentral is "partial 16S ribosomal RNA". It matches the Rfam family "Bacterial small subunit ribosomal RNA", at positions 524 to 776 of the family's 1533-position model. The record is from RNAcentral.